GAUGAACGCUAGCGGCAGGCCUAAUACAUGCAAGUCGAACGAUAGAAGAGGGCUUGCUCUCUUCGAAAGUGGCGCACGGGUGCGUAACGCGUAUGCAACCUACCUUAAUCAGGGGGAUAGCCCGAAGAAAUUCGGAUUAACACCGCAUAAAAUCACAGUACAGCAUUGUACAAUGAUCAAAUAUUUAUAGGAUUAAGAUGGGCAUGGCGUGACAUUAGCUAGUUGGCGGGGUAACGGCCCACCAAGGCGACGAUGUCUAGGGGAUCUGAGAGGAUGAACCCCCACACUGGUACUGAGACACGGACCAGACUCCUCCGGGAGGCAGCAGUAAGGAAUAUUGGUCAAUGAAGGCAACUCUGAGCCAGCCAUGCCGCGUGCAGGAAGACAGCCCUCUGGGUCGUAAACUGCUUUUAUUCGGGAAUAAACCUACUUACGUGUAAGUAGCUGAAUGUACCGAAGGAAUAAGGAUCGGCUAACUCCGUGCCAGCCGCCGCAGUAA
This 499-nucleotide ribosomal RNA is filed under the name uncultured bacterium. Its description in RNAcentral is "partial 16S ribosomal RNA". It matches the Rfam family "Bacterial small subunit ribosomal RNA", at positions 28 to 523 of the family's 1533-position model. The record is from RNAcentral.